UGCCGCUAGGUGUUGUGUGAACCAGGCUUCAUAGCGGCCCACCUCUUCCACACCUUUGUCUGUUUUCGGAUAAUUGCUAAAAUGACGACAGAUGGAGCUGCCCACAUUGAGCUUCAGAACAGCUCUUCCGAAACGUGUGAUUGACGUCAACGAAACUUUGUCCCGUCUAUCGGAGCAGGCCUGCUGCAUAGUUCAGUGACAGAUGGAUAAAUAAGGGGAACCAGUACCUACAUGAUGCAGGGAAUUACACAAGAGUGGGGAAGUUAGCCUAUGUAGAAAUAGCUUUACAGGAUUUUUACUGCAUGUAGCUACUGGAGUAAUCCUUCGGUCAAACACGGCAUCCCAGAUGUCGGCUCGUAGGUGGAACGGCAGAUACUGCUCACAACAGAAUCAGCAGUAAAGGUGGCAGAAAGAGCAACUUGGAUUCACGCCGGGGGGUGGAGGUCUCUGAGACCACCUAGAACCACUAAUCUCCCAAACACUCACUGCGGGCACACUGAUCAGUAGGAGCGGAGAGAGGCAUCGGUGGCUGUCUGAUGGGGGACAAUGGACACAAGAUAGAUGGACUGGCUAUUGAACUUGAAACUUGACAGCUCAGUGGAAGUGGGUUUUUCCACCAUUACUCCCACCGUGCAGGGCCUCAGAAAUGUGGCGUUGCAAAAUAGAACGGCACUGGACCUGGUGCUGGCAAGUCAAGGCGGAGUUUGCCACAUUUUUGGAAUGGACUGUUGUACGUACAUCCUAGAUGUCUCUGAUAAUGUGAUUAAUGUCACACAAUGUUUACAGUGGCGUUACAGCUGAAAAGUACUGUGUCCCGGAAAGGUGACAGUUCCUGUUCAGGUCGCAGGAUCUGAUGGGUUACACUAUGAUGCGUUACACCUGCUGAGAGUCAGUAAGAUGCCUAAAGGUCAAUAAAAAAUAAUAGUGCAUACUUUAAACCUCUCACUUGAAUAAAAAAAUCAAUAAAUUUAUGAAUACA
Molecule: long non-coding RNA, 979 nt
Organism: Micropterus dolomieu (smallmouth bass)
Lineage: Eukaryota; Metazoa; Chordata; Actinopteri; Centrarchiformes; Centrarchidae
Exons: 2
Source: RefSeq, a predicted model, not a curated record